GAUGAACGCUAGCGGCAGGCUUAACACAUGCAAGUCGAGGGGUAACAGGUAGCUUGCUAUGCUGACGACCGGCGAACGGGUGCGUAACGCGUAUAGAAUCUGCCUUGUACAGGAGGAUAGCCUUUAGAAAUGAAGAUUAACACUCCAUAAUGUAGGGUUUCGGCAUCGAGACUUUAUUAAACAUUUAUGGGUACAAGAUGACUAUGCGUCCUAUUAGCUAGAUGGUAAGGUAACGGCUUACCAUGGCGACGAUAGGUAGGGGGUCUGAGAGGAUUAUCCCCCACACUGGUACUGAGACACGGACCAG
This 307-nucleotide ribosomal RNA is filed under the name uncultured Tenacibaculum sp. Its description in RNAcentral is "bacterial SSU rRNA". It matches the Rfam family "Bacterial small subunit ribosomal RNA", at positions 28 to 334 of the family's 1533-position model. Lineage: Bacteria; Pseudomonadati; Bacteroidota; Flavobacteriia; Flavobacteriales; Flavobacteriaceae. The record is from RNAcentral.